This 447-nucleotide ribosomal RNA is filed under the name uncultured bacterium. Its description in RNAcentral is "bacterial SSU rRNA". It matches the Rfam family "Bacterial small subunit ribosomal RNA", at positions 328 to 792 of the family's 1533-position model. The record is from RNAcentral.
UUUCCAGACUCCUACGGGAGGCAGCAGUGGGGAAUAUUGCACAAUGGGGGGAACCCUGAUGCAGCGACGCCGCGUGAGUGAAGAAGUAUUUCGGUAUGUAAAGCUCUAUCAGCAGGGAAGAAGAUGACGGUACCUGACUAAGAAGCCCCGGCUAACUACGUGCCAGCAGCCGCGGUAAUACGUAGGGGGCAAGCGUUAUCCGGAUUUACUGGGUGUAAAGGGAGCGUAGACGGCGAUGCAAGCCAGAUGUGAAGGCCCGCGGCUCAACUGCGGUAGUGCAUUUGGAACUGUAUGGCUGGAGUGCAGGAGAGGCAGGCGGAAUUCCUAGUGUAGCGGUGAAAUGCGUAGAUAUUAGGAGGAACACCAGUGGCGAAGGCGGCCUGCUGGACUGUAACUGACGUUGAGGCUCGAAAGCGUGGGGAGCAAACAGGAUUAGAUACCCCGGUA